CCUUCGGGCUUAGUGGCGCACGGGUACGUAACGCGUGGGAAUCUGCCCUUCGGUUCGGAACAACAGUUAGAAAUGACUGCUAAUACCGGAUAAUGACGUAAGUCCAAAGAUUUAUCGCCGAAGGAUGAGCCCGCGUAGGAUUAGCUAGUUGGUAAGGUAAAAGCUUACCAAGGCGACGAUCCUUAGCUGGUCUGAGAGGAUGAUCAGCCACACUGGGACUGAGACACGGCCCAG
RNAcentral lists this ribosomal RNA (234 nucleotides) under uncultured bacterium. Its description in RNAcentral is "partial 16S ribosomal RNA". It matches the Rfam family "Bacterial small subunit ribosomal RNA", at positions 83 to 334 of the family's 1533-position model. The record is from RNAcentral.